RNAcentral lists this ribosomal RNA (497 nucleotides) under uncultured bacterium. RNAcentral describes it as "partial 16S ribosomal RNA". It matches the Rfam family "Bacterial small subunit ribosomal RNA", at positions 28 to 507 of the family's 1533-position model. The record is from RNAcentral.
GAUGAACGCUGGCGGCGUGCCUAAUACAUGCAAGUCGAGCGAACAGAUGAGGAGCUUGCUCCUCUGACGUUAGCGGCGGACGGGUGAGUAACACGUGGAUAACCUACCUAUAAGACUGGGAUAACUUCGGGAAACCUGAGCUCAUACCGGAUAAUAUAUUUAACCGCAUGGUUCAAUAGUUAAAGACGGUUUUGCUUUCACUUCUAGAUGGAUCCGCGCCGCAUUAGCUAGUUGGUAAGUUAACGGCUUACCAAGGCAACGAUGCGUAUCCGACCUGAGGAGUGGAUGGGCCACAUUGGAACUGAGACACGGUCCAGACGCCUACGGGAGACAGCAGUAGGGAAUCUUCCGCGAUGGGCGAAAGCGUGACGGAGCAACGCCGAGUGAGUGAUGAAGGUGUUCGGAUCGUAAAUCUCUGUUAUUAGGGAAGAAGAAAGGUGUAAGUAACUAUGCACGUCUUGACGGUACAGAAUCAGAAAGCCACGGCUAACUACGUG